RNAcentral lists this long non-coding RNA (723 nucleotides) under Panax ginseng (ginseng). Its description in RNAcentral is "long non-coding RNA (PGIN_LNC011566)". The record is from RNAcentral. Lineage: Eukaryota; Viridiplantae; Streptophyta; Magnoliopsida; Apiales; Araliaceae.
CAUUCUCAGUUUCUUCAUUUCACACUCCAUCCAAACCAUUAUGUUGUGUACAGUACAAUAUUAUAGCUUACAUGAUAUCAGAAAGUUUGAAUUAGCUCCACACCAGUAUAAUAUUACAGGAUAAACUAGUAUUAUAUUGUGAUUUUCAUCAAGCACUUGUUUUGCAUGUGAAGAUGACAAGUUACCGUCCCUGUUUUUCUUGGGUGCCGAGUCAUACUUAGGUAGGUGGGUGGAUAAAUAUGCCAUGAGUACAGUAACUGAAGCUUAUAUGUAUAUUGCCAAUUGUAUGUACUGUUAUACCUGCAAAUUAGUAAACUUUGAAUUACAGUUAAAGAUAGGACUCAAGUGAAAUACUACACCUUUACACCUUAAAGAGGUGUAUACCCAAAUCUUAUAAUCUCUGUCUCGUGCACUUUCACACUGAUCCAAAGCCUUUAAUAGAUGCAGUUUUAAUGGAGGAAAGUAGUGGGAAAUAGAUAACUUCAAUGAGAAACCCAAAUAAAAAGUGUACCGUAUGGUACAGAUCAAGGGAGACUUUGAAAUAUUAAAAGUGAGGCCCAAAAUGCUCAAAAUCACUAGUACGGGCCCCUCCACACCAUUAGGGUUCGUGCCCGCACCAUUAUGAUGCAGAGAUACUUAAUUUUUUUAAAAUCGCGUCAGGUGGAUUUUGGGAUGGAUGGUGUAAGAUGGCUUCUCCAUUUAACACCCUACAGCCAACCUUGG